RNAcentral lists this long non-coding RNA (316 nucleotides) under Gossypium raimondii (Peruvian cotton). RNAcentral describes it as "long non-coding RNA (GRAI_LNC004463)". The record is from RNAcentral. Lineage: Eukaryota; Viridiplantae; Streptophyta; Magnoliopsida; Malvales; Malvaceae.
UUUAUUAUUUCCUUCUUGGUUCUGCUAGAAAAUAGUUGAUUGGAAGCGGACUUGGUGUCAAAUGCAUAGAGGGAAAAACCAUGGUUUUAUCUAUUCAGGAAGCUAAAAUUUUCAAGUAACUUGCUAAAGAAGAAGUAGAGGGCUGCAACAAAAAGAAAGGGACCAAUUGAAGCUAGGAGUAGUUGGAAAAUUUUGGUGAGUUUGUUGAUCUUUAAAUUUUCUUUACAUUUAUAAAUGUAAAAUUUUACAGGUUUGAUUUGUAUGGAAAAAUUUUGAGUUGAAUUGUUAGUUCAAUUGGUUGUUUCCUUUAUGUGCG